UGCACUCAAUAUUGUAAGUUGCUUUUGAUAAGAGCGUCUGCUAAAUGACUUAAA
Molecule: non-coding RNA, 54 nt
Organism: Salmo salar (Atlantic salmon)
Lineage: Eukaryota; Metazoa; Chordata; Actinopteri; Salmoniformes; Salmonidae
Source: Rfam